GCUGGGCAUGGUGGUGCCUGCCUGUAGUCCCAGCUACUCAGGAGGCUGAGGUGGGAGGAUCACUUGAGCCCAGGAGUUCUGGGCUGUAGUGUGCUAUGCCAAUCGGGUGUCCGCACUAAAUUUGGCAUCAAUAUGGUGACCUCCUGCGAGCAGGGACCAGCAGGUUACCUAAGGUGGGAUGAACCAAGCCAGGUAAAAAUGGAGGUCAAAACUCCCAUGCUCAUCAGUAGUGGGAUCACGCCUGUGUAUAGCCACUGCACUCCAGCCUGGGCAACGUAGCGAGACCCAUCUCUA
This is an unclassified non-coding RNA of Callithrix jacchus (white-tufted-ear marmoset), 294 nucleotides long. It matches the Rfam family "Metazoan signal recognition particle RNA". Rfam says of the family: The signal recognition particle (SRP) is a universally conserved ribonucleoprotein. NCBI's taxonomy places the organism in Eukaryota, Metazoa, Chordata, Mammalia, Primates, Cebidae. The record is from Ensembl.